GUAUCUAGAUUUUUAUUUUCAAAUGUAGACUAGACUAGAGAUAUAACAAAUUAACUAUUUUUUUAUUUUUAAUAUCACAAAAAAUAUAUCAGAUUGUUGCAGAAAAAUAUACUGUACAGCAAUGGGGUUGUAUGUCAGGAGGCGGUUAGUUGCUAUUGUCAGCCUAUAGCAUAAAAAUUUUAUUUAAACUUACUUUGCGAAGGAGUAUAUUGCAUGCUUACUAGGACUAUAUUGUAUUGGAGGCCAACAUACUUUCUUUCAGCAAAUACAACACUUGGUUUUCCUAUGAUGUUGAAACAGAUAACUGUUUCUUUGAGCACUAGGUAAACUAGAUUCUUGUGUUUAGGUUUUAUACAGACAAACAAACAAAAAAAAACAUAUUGUUAAAUACAGAAUCCAUAUUCAGUGUGGAGAAAUGUUCAAACCCACAGAGUCUCUUGGAUAGUGAGACAAGCAGAAGAACCAGACCACUGAGUUUUCCCAACUUAUACUCUCUCUGGGACCAUGAUUGGGACUACCAGGCAAAAUUCCCUGAAGUGUUUUAAUUUAUUCUCAUUUAUUUAUAUUCAUUGUCUCAUCCUCUUUCCUGUUCACAUCAUAGAUUUUGUAUGAGUGAAAAUAUAUCUGUGAUGUGAUUCUGUAAUAAAAUGCCACCUAAGAAUCUCCUUUCCAUUUUCCUACCUUUCUACUCCCCAGGAAUUCCUUCUGUUAAUCAAUUGGCAUGUAUCCUUUCAGAUAUUUUUCUUGUGCAUAUAAACGUAUUUAUAGAAUAUGUGUUUUGUACUGUUUAUUAUACAGAACUAUACUUAUAUAAUGUUAUCCAGCAUAUAAUAUAUAUAAUGUAUAUAUCUAUAAAAUAGAUACCUAAAAGUAAAAUUGGAUAUCAUAUGGUCUGUGUAUUUAAAUUUUUCAUAGCUAAAUUGAACUUUAAAACAUUGGAGCAGAUUUAUACUUCCACCAUAGUAGAUGUGCAGAAUUUUUUAAAAUGAGGAAGUACUACCAAAUCAAUUCGAGUAUAAUCAGUAUACUCUAAGUGUCUUAACCCAAAAUAUCCCUUUCUUUAUUAUUAAAGGAGAUAUGGCAAGAUAAAAGCAGUCAAUAAUUUUUUUUGUAAUUUAAGGUUAAUGAUUUUUCUGUAAUUAAAAGAAUUGUCAAGUCAAUUCUUCAGUGUUUUGGUAAUCUAGAGCAGAGGUGACUAAACUUAUUCUGCAAAAGGUCAAUUUGUAAAUAUUUUAGGUUUAGUGGGUCAUACAGUCUCUGUUACAGCUACUCAAAAGCAUUAUAAAAGCAAAAGCAGCCAUAGAAAAUAAUGUCAGUGAAUGGGCCUGUGUGUGUUCCAAUAAAACUUAAUUUACAAAACCAGUCAGUGGGCCAAAUCCUGUAGACUGCAGUUAGCAGGUAGUUUCAUAUAAAAUGGUUCUUUUGCUUUUUUACUUUUUUUCUGAAAUAACUGAGCACACAAAUGUGUUGCAGUGGACUUUUCUUCUUUUUCUUCUUCCAUUCCUCUAUAACCUUAAAAAAAAUCUACCAAUAACAAAAAAUGAAGCACCCACUAAACCCUGAAAUUUUGUUCCUGGUAAAAAUGGCUGGGUGUGGUGGCCCACACCUGUAAUCCUAGCACUUUAUGGGGCCAGAGCAGCAGGACUGCUUGAACCCAGGAGUUUGAGACCAGCCUGGGCAAUAUGGUGAGACCCCAUCUCUAAAAAAAAAAAUAGAAAAAUUAGCUGGGUAUGGUGGUGUAUGCCUGUGGUUCCAGCUAUUCUGGAGGCUGAGGUGGAAGGAUCACUUGAGUCGAGAAGGUUGAGGGUGCAGUGAAUCAUUAUUGAACCACUUAAUGCCAGCUGGAUGACAGAGUGAGACCCUGUCUCAAGAAAAAAAGGUGUAUUCUGAUAGCCAAAUGUCUUAUAUGUAUGUCACUUCCGUUACAUACAUUCUAAGGAAAGAAGAGCUUCAUCCAAGAUUUGAAGUGUGUUCUAUCAUCCCCUUCCCAAUUGAUGUUAUAUUCAGCCUAUUUUUUGUUAUAUAUUAAUAUUAUUAGCCUAUAAUCAGAAGAUGUUUGAUUAACCCAAAUUUCCCAUAUAAAUUUAUUAUAUAUAAUUUUGUUUUUCUGUUUGCAAAAUAUUAUAUGACCCUGUGACAUUUUAAGCUGUGGGCUUUUUUAUAAGAACCAUUGCCCAUGGUGUAAGCACUGUUGAGAACUGUCUCCAUAUUCUAAAUUAGGUGAUGGUUUGCCUAAAUAUUUAAAUCCAAGGGUAGUUUUAGUGUUUUUCAGAUACUUACAUUUACAUUGUUUCUCAUUCACUCUCCUUGUUUUUGUUUUUAAAGUGAGUGAAUGUUAAUUCCCUCAGUUACGUUUGUUGAUUCAGAUUCAUUAUAGACUUAAUGAUGAGGUCUGAAAUUUAUAGCUUACUUCCACAGUAAAUCUGCAUAUUGUCUUAUUAGUUUGUUUUCUCUGUACACACGUUGUUCCACAUAACAAAUGAAAAAUCCUUGUAUUUUAGGGUAGGUUUCAGCAAUGCAGAUUUCCAUUGGGUGCCAUCUUGUUUCUUACGCUGGCUUUAUAAGCUGCUAAAAUUAUUCCUGUUCCUAAUUGUAUACUGGCUGGUGAUCAUGGUAAAACUAAGGAAAAUAAGCUUAUUUUGAAUAGCUGUGUAAUUCCUGUUUAUCACUACUUUAUGAUUAAAAUUUGGUGCUUUUGAAUUUACCUGGCAGUGUAGUCUAGGGCAGUGCUUCUCGGUGUCUAUAGCAAAAACCCCGUGUGGGUGUUUGUUUUUAAUUUUCAGACUAAUAUAGAUCAGUAUUUUUGUAAAGUACAAUAAAAGCUGUAGCAAUGUCAUACUGCUAUAUUUUCAAACAUUUUUACUUUUUUUAAGUAAAGUAAAAUUUACCUCAUUGCAGAGCAGCAAGAGUCUGCAUACUAUACUUUGAAUAGCACUGUUUUAAGAGCGAGAACACUGGCCUGUGGUUCUUUCAAAACUCUGCCCCUGACUUUAGACAAAUUAAUUAACAUGCUUGAGGCCAAGUUUCCUAUUUUGAAAUAGAAUUUCAAUCAAAAUUUCUGAAGUCCUUCUUAAGGCCCUAAUUUUUAUUCCUUUAAUAGAACAUCAAUAUUUGGGACCACAUUUUGAAUGACCACAUAGAUUCAUUCAUUUUUCAACAACUAUUUAUUGAGUGCCUACUAUAUGUUGAUUUAGGUGUCAUAUUGCAAUGAACAAAGUAGACAUAAAUUACUGUCUUCAUGGAAUUUACAUUUUAGUGGUUGGGGGGGAAUGUAUCAACAAAAUCAAUGAGUAGAUUAUGUGGUAUGUUAGAGAGUACAAUUGCUCUGGAAGAAAUAAGCCAGGGAGAUAGUUGGGUGGUUCUUGCCGGAAGUGGAGAGUGGCUGAUUGAAGUCCGGAGGUGGUACAUUCUGGCUGACAUGCAAAAUCUGGUAGAAAGAUUGGAGAGGGCGGUGGGCCACCUGGUGGCAGUAUCCCAUACCUCUGACAUGCACUGUGGGUAUCGAGACCGUCCUUCAAAAGCAGGAGCAACUCCCUAUGUGCAGGCAUUUGACUCGCUGCUUGGCGGUCCUGUGACAGAGUACUUGAAGAUCAUUAAAGAGACUGGGGGAGACAUGCAGAAACAUGUGGAGAUGGUCCACACAGGUUUGAAGUUGGAGCGAGUUCUCUUGGUUACAGCUUCUCAGUGUCAACAGCCAGCAGAUAAUAAGUUUUCUGAUUUGUUGGCACCCAUCUCAGAGCAGAUCAAAGAAGUGAGAAGCAAGGCAGCAAGUUGUUUAAUCACCUGUCAGCUGUCAGCGAAAGCAUCCAGGCCCUGGGCUGGGUGGCUAUGGCUCCCAAGCCUGGCCCUUAUGUGAAAGAAAUGAAUGAUGCUGCCAUGUUUUAUACAAACUGAGUCCUCAAAGAGUACAAAGAUGUGGAUAAGAAGCAUGUAGACUGGGUCAAAGCUUAUUUAAGUAUAUGGACAGAGCUGCAGGCUUACAUUAAGGAGUUCCAUACCACCAAACUGGUAUGGAACAAAACGGGGCCUGUGGCAAAAGAACUGAGUGGACUGCCUUCUGGACCCUCUGCUGGAUCAGAUCCUCCUUCCCCACCACCAGGCCGCCCUCCACCAGUCUCUACCAGUUCAGGCUCAGAUGAAUCUGCCUCCCGUUCAGCACUGUUUAUGCAGAUUAAUCAGGGGGAGAGCAUCACACAUGCCCUGAAACACAUGUCUGUUGACAUGAAGACUCACAAGAACCCUACCUUGAAGGCUCAGAGUGGACCAGUAGACAGUGGCCCCAAGCCAUUCUCUGUACCUAAACCCCAAACCAGCCCAUCCCCAAACCAGCCGCAAAGAAGGAGCCAGGUGUACUUGAACUGGAGGGCAAGAAGUGGAGAGUGGAAAAUCAGGAAAAUGUUUCCAACCUGGUGAUUGAUGACACAGCUGAAACAGGUGGCUUACAUUUACAAGUGUGUCAACACGAUGUUGCAAAUCAAGAACAAAAUUAACUCCAUUGCAGUAGAUAACUCCAAGAAACUUGGCCUGGUAUUUGAUGAUGUAGUGGGCAUUGUGGAAAUAAUCAACAGUAAGGAUGUCAAAGUUCAGGUAAUGGGUAAAGUGCCAACCAUUUCCAUUAACAAAACAGAUGGCUGCCAUGCUUACCUGAGCAAGAAUUCCCUGGAUUGUGAAACAGUCACUGCCAAAUCUUCUGAGAAGAACGUCCUCAUUCCUACAGAAGGCAGUGGCUUUAAUGAAUUCCCAGUUCCUAAGCAGUUCAAGACCCUAUGGAAUGGGCAGAAGUUGGUCACCCCAGUGACAGAAAUUGCUGGAUAAGUAAAGUGCCACUGGGUUCUUUGCCCUCCCUUCACACCAUGGGAUAGAUCUGUAUCAAGACGAUUCUUUUCUAGAUUUUCUCCACCUUUCUGCUCUUAAAACUGCUUCUCUGCUUUGAGAAGCACAGCUACCUGCCUUCACUGAAAUAUACCUCAGGCUGAGAUUUGGGGUGGAAUAGCAGAUCAGUUGAUCUUCUGCAGGAAGGUUCAGCUUUUCCAUAUCAGCUCAACCAUGCCAGCAGUCCAUUCUUAAGGAACUGCCAACCAGGACUGAUGAUGCAUUUUAGCUUUGAGCUUUUGGGCAUUUAUUCUACCAACAAACAGUCCAUUGAGAAGAAAACAGUCCCAGGAAUUAACAGAUCAGAAUGUUCACACUGGUUAAUCUUUUUCUAACAAUGAGCAUGAAGGUAGCAGAAGCUGGUGUGUUUCCAGAUGGUUCUUCUAACCAAACUAAUUUUUUACUAUUGACAAGUGAGGCAAGGGUUGCACUGGACCAAAGGCUGAGGCUUGGCCAUCUAGCAUUCUACACAAAAUUGUUCCCUAUAAGCAUUCCUUUUAUUCUCUAUUCCAUCCUGGGUCUGCCUCUACCAUGCUGUGGCAGUGCCCUUCAUCCAGAGCAGUUAAAGGAGUCUUGGACCCUUUCUUUCUCUAAGAUUCCUGCCCAGCACCUUCUACAGAGAUGUCUUAAAAGGGAAAAAAAGGAAAAAACACACCAUUCCAAGGAGUCUGGCAUUCCUGAAUCCUCCUUGCCUGCUAGGUUUCUGUUACCUGUCUUCACUGUCUCCUUUUCCCUGUCAUGCUCAUCAGCUAUGGCUUCUGUCCAGGCACCUGAACAGAGGACUAAAACCUCCAUUGCAGGCUGGUUUAGGUCUUGAUUUAUAUAAGAAUCUUGCAAAGCACUGCUAAUAUAAAGUUCAGUUUUUUCCCUCUAGGACAAACACUUACCAAAAUGUGCAACUUUUUCUGGUGGGAAGAGAGAUUGUCCUGUGAUUUCUACCCAUUUCCUGAGGCCUGUGGAAAUAAACCUUUAUGUACUUAAAGUUAAAAAAAAAAAGAAAUAA
Callithrix jacchus (white-tufted-ear marmoset) is the source of this 5875-nucleotide RNA transcript. It is a transcript of the gene named adenylyl cyclase-associated protein 1 pseudogene, with no coding region annotated. NCBI's taxonomy places the organism in Eukaryota, Metazoa, Chordata, Mammalia, Primates, Cebidae. The record is from RefSeq and is a predicted model, not a curated record.